Long non-coding RNA from Neopsephotus bourkii (Bourke's parrot), 994 nucleotides. RefSeq lists it as uncharacterized. The record is from RefSeq and is a predicted model, not a curated record. The transcript is spliced from 3 exons. NCBI's taxonomy places the organism in Eukaryota, Metazoa, Chordata, Aves, Psittaciformes, Psittacidae.
UUGUCCUGGAGCUCAUCAAAAAGCCUUUGAAGGGAUGGUGCCAGUUCUCCAUCACUGGUUGGGAGUUCUACGGUGCGAAACUUCAAAAGCAGGUUGAGCACCAGCACAGAGAGCAGAUUGCAGCCUGGUGACAGCUCUGACUCUGCAUAUGCUGCAUCCUACCCAGGGAACCUGGCUACGGAGAGUUACAGAUGGCAGAAACAGAAACUGCGUUCUCCUCUUUGAACUCUGCUGUCUUAAAGCAGCUGUUGAAAUCUGCUGUCUCUCUUCAAUGUCUGAGUGUCCUAAUGAGGAAUAAACAAAAGCAUUGAAGGGAAAAAGGAGAGAAACUCCCUGCCUGCCACAGAUCUGUUGGGGUAAUUGGAGGCUCUGCAGGUACUGGGAGUUAUAAUCUCUCCAGGUCUGUGGCUUCAUUGCCUGGCUGCAGAGAGCAUGGUCUAGACAGCAGGUGGAGGGAUUGGUAACACUGAGAUGCUGGAGCAGCUCUGGGUGUCUGACACUGAAGAGCCAGAUGCAUUCUUGUGUCUUCUGAUGAUCAAGUAUCAGUUCUUGUGACUUUCAAUCUCAGUUUCAAGGUAGGAAGAUUGCCAUUGUAACCACCAGGAUUUUUUUGGUCCUAAAAUGAGCUCUGCUCUUUUUCCCUACUCUCUUUCCAGAAACAUCUUGAGCAGGAAGCCAAUUUCACACUUAUUCCCUUCUUCUUUUUAAUGUUGAGCUAAUUGGAGCUGUGUGUCUGGAACUGCCUGGUCCCUGGAGCAUACCCAUGAUGCUUGUCCCACCGUGGGAGGAACUCAGCUGGAGCCCUGCACACCAUCUGGGAGAAGAGGAAGCCUCAGAGCUGUCAGAAGGUUUAAUGGACUUAAGACAGAUGUUGAACGAGGCUCUGCAUAACAAGGGAGUGCCAGGGAUGCUGAGGUGCUGCAGAAGGUGCAUCUCCUUGCUGGGGAAGUGGAUGUGAUGCUCCUGCUGGGAUGAAGAUGUGCAAAUGUUCCCA